UCGGACAUGGUGUAUGGUACACGGCCUCCCAACAUGUCAAUAUCGAUGCCAAGGUUGUUGGAGGCAGACCGGGGUUCGACUCCCCGUGUCCGAA
Molecule: non-coding RNA, 94 nt
Organism: Mycena leptocephala
Lineage: Eukaryota; Fungi; Basidiomycota; Agaricomycetes; Agaricales; Mycenaceae
Source: the annotation of a GenBank genome assembly